GCUAGUGUAGCUUAACUAAAAGCAUAGCACUGAAGAUGCUAAGAUAAAAACUAAUCUUUUUCACAGGCA
RNAcentral lists this transfer RNA (69 nucleotides) under Dasyatis pastinaca (common stingray). RNAcentral's name for it is "tRNA-Phe". It matches the Rfam family "tRNA". From Rfam's summary of the family: Transfer RNA (tRNA) molecules are approximately 80 nucleotides in length. Lineage: Eukaryota; Metazoa; Chordata; Chondrichthyes; Myliobatiformes; Dasyatidae. The record is from RNAcentral.